AUGCAGUCGAGCGGACCGACGGGAGCUUGCUCCCUUAGGUCAGCGGCGGACGGGUGAGUAACACGUGGGUAACCUGCCUGUAAGACUGGGAUAACUCCGGGAAACCGGGGCUAAUACCGGAUGCUUGAUUGAACCGCAUGGUUCAAUCAUAAAAGGUGGCUUUUAGCUACCACUUGCAGAUGGACCCGCGGCGCAUUAGCUAGUUGGUGAGGUAACGGCUCACCAAGGCGACGAUGCGUAGCCGACCUGAGAGGGUGAUCGGCCACACUGGGACUGAGACACGGCCCAGACUCCUACGGGAGGCAGCAGUAGGGAAUCUUCCGCAAUGGACGAAAGUCUGACGGAGCAACGCCGCGUGAGUGAUGAAGGUUUUCGGAUCGUAAAACUCUGUUGUUAGGGAAGAACAAGUACCGUUCGAAUAGGGCGGUACCUUGACGGUACCUAACCAGAAAGCCACGGCUAACUACGUGCCAGCAGCCGCGGUAAUACGUAGGUGGCAAGCGUUGUCCGGAAUUAUUGGGCGUAAAGCGCGCGCAGGCGGUUUCUUAAGUCUGAUGUGAAAGCCCCCGGCUCAACCGGGGAGGGUCAUUGGAAACUGGGGAACUUGAGUGCAGAAGAGGAGAGUGGAAUUCCACGUGUAGCGGUGAAAUGCGUAGAGAUGUGGAGGAACACCAGUGGCGAAGGCGACUCUCUGGUCUGUAACUGACGCUGAGGCGCGAAAGCGUGGGGAGCGAACAGGAUUAGAUACCCUGGUAGUCCACGCCGU
Molecule: ribosomal RNA, 766 nt
Filed under: Bacillus subtilis
Lineage: Bacteria; Bacillati; Bacillota; Bacilli; Caryophanales; Bacillaceae
Description: bacterial SSU rRNA
Rfam family: Bacterial small subunit ribosomal RNA
Source: RNAcentral